Molecule: ribosomal RNA, 706 nt
Filed under: uncultured bacterium
Lineage: Bacteria
Description: bacterial SSU rRNA
Rfam family: Bacterial small subunit ribosomal RNA
Source: RNAcentral
AUUAGUUAGUUGGCGAGGUAACGGCUCACCAAGACUAUGAUUGGUAGGGGAACUGAGAGGUCAAUCCCCCACACUGGCACUGAGAUACGGGCCAGACUCCUACGGGAGGCAGCAGUAGGGAAUAUUGGGCAAUGGACGCAAGUCUGAACCAACUAUGCCGCGUGAAGGAUUAAGGUCCUCUGGAUUGUAAACUUCUUUUAUCUGGGACGAAAAAAGGUCUUUCUAGAUCACUUGACGGUACCAGAUGAAUAAGCACCGGCUAACUCCGUGCCAGCAGCCGCGGUAAUACGGAGGGUGCAAGCGUUAUCCGGAUUCACUGGGUUUAAAGGGUGCGUAGGCGGGCAGGUAAGUCAGUGGUGAAAUCCUGGAGCUCAACUCCAGAACUGCCAUUGAUACUAUCUGUCUUGAAUAUUGUGGAGGUAAGCGGAAUAUGUCAUGUAUCGGUGAAAUGCUUAGAUAUGACAUAAAACACCCAUUGCGAAGGCAGCUUACUACGCAUAUAUUGACGCUGACGCACGAAAGCGUGGGGAUCAAACAGGAUUAGAUACCCUGGUAGUCCACGCCCUAAACGAUGGAUACUCGACAUACGCGAUACACUGUGUGUGUCUGAGCGAAAGCAUUAAGUAUCCCACCUGGGAAGUACGUUCGCAAGAAUGAAACUCAAAGGAAUUGGCGGGGGUCCGCACAAGCAGAGGAGUAUGUGGUU